RNA transcript from Propithecus coquereli (Coquerel's sifaka), 2595 nucleotides. It is a transcript of the gene named septin 6, with no coding region annotated. Lineage: Eukaryota; Metazoa; Chordata; Mammalia; Primates; Indriidae. The record is from RefSeq and is a predicted model, not a curated record. The transcript is spliced from 12 exons.
GGAACUGAGCUCGAGGUCGGGGGAGGCGGCUUGUUAAAUCCGCCCCCUCCUCAUACCCAACUUCCGAGGGGGGAAGCGGUAGAGUGGAGGUUGGGGUUGGACCAGCGGCGAGGGGGCCCCUCCCUUGCACCUCCCCCCACCGGACUUGGUCGCGUCCGAAGUGUAACACUUUCUCUUUGUCGGAGGAGCUCCUCUCUUUCCUGUGCGGUAGCUCCCGUUGCGGCGGCGCCCGUGGUAGUCCUGGCGGACCCAGGAGAGAUGGCAGCGACCGAUAUAGCUCGCCAGGUGGGUGAAGGUUGCCGAACUCUCCCCCUGGCUGGACAUGUGGGGUUUGACAGCUUGCCUGACCAGCUGGUGAAUAAGUCAGUCGGCCAGGGCUUCUGCUUCAACAUCCUGUGCGUGGGAGAGACUGGUUUGGGCAAGUCCACCCUCAUGGACACCCUGUUCAAUACAAAGUUUGAAGGGGAGCCAGCCACCCACACGCAGCCAGGUGUACAGCUUCGGUCCAAUACCUAUGACCUCCAAGAGAGCAAUGUGGGGCUAAAGCUCACGAUCGUUAGCACGGUGGGCUUUGGGGACCAGAUCAACAAGGAGGACAGCUACAAGCCCAUCGUGGAAUUCAUCGAUGCUCAGUUUGAAGCUUACCUGCAGGAGGAGCUGAAGAUCCGAAGAGUGCUGCACACCUACCAUGACUCUCGAAUCCACGCCUGCUUGUAUUUCAUUGCCCCAACGGGGCAUUCCCUGAAGUCUCUGGACCUAGUGACAAUGAAGAAGCUGGACAGUAAGGUGAACAUCAUCCCCAUCAUUGGCAAAUCAGAUACCAUUUCUAAAAGUGAGCUAACGAAGUUCAAAAUCAAAAUCACCAGCGAGCUUGUCAGCAACGGGGUCCAGAUCUAUCAGUUCCCUACAGAUGACGAGUCGGUGGCAGAGAUCAACGGAACCAUGAAUGCCCACCUGCCGUUUGCUGUCAUCGGCAGCACAGAAGAAGUGAAGAUAGGCAACAAGAUGAUGAAGGCGCGGCAGUAUCCUUGGGGCACUGUGCAGGUUGAAAACGAGGCCCACUGCGACUUUGUGAAGCUGCGGGAGAUGCUGAUUCGGGUCAACAUGGAGGAUCUGCGGGAGCAGACCCACACCCGGCACUAUGAGCUGUACCGCCGCUGUAAGCUGGAGGAGAUGGGCUUCAAGGACACCGACCCUGACAACAAACCAUUCAGCUUGCAGGAGACAUAUGAGGCCAAAAGGAAUGAGUUCCUAGGGGAGCUCCAGAAAAAAGAAGAGGAGAUGAGACAGAUGUUCGUCCAGAGAGUGAAAGAGAAAGAAGCAGAACUCAAAGAGGCAGAGAAAGAGCUUCAUGAGAAGUUUGAUCGCCUGAAGAAACUGCACCAGGACGAGAAGAAGAAGCUGGAGGAUAAGAAGAAAUCUCUGGACGAUGAAAUACACGCUUUUAAACAGAGAAAGACGGCAGCCGAGCUGCUCCAGGCCCAGGGUCCCCAGGCUGGAGGUACACAGACUCUGAAGAGGGACAAAGAAAAGAAAAAUUAACCCUGCUGUUUGCUGCAUGCUGCAUGAGACCCAGGGUCCCGCUUUUUUUAAUCUUGUCUUCAGCAGCUGCACUAAGUCUAAAGGAGAAGACUGCCAUUAUAGAAGAGUUAGGGUUCCAUAUUGUCUCAAACCAGAAAUCAUCCAAUUUCCUCUCCCCUCAAACUGCGUGCACACACACACACCACUCAACAAGUGUUCAUGUGUCCCCGUGUCCAGGCAAGAAGCUCUCUUCUGACUUACAUGGUAUUUUAAAUGGAAAUGUCUUGUCCUAAACUAACAUGGCAGGAAAAGAACCAUCAGAGCUGGAAAAUGGACCAAAUGUAAACUCAAAGAGACAACUAUAGGACCACUCACCCAAGUGUAAGUGACUGGGGCAGAAUACCCCAGCUGGGUGUGGAAGUGCUAUUCACAACUUUUUGUUUGAGUUUUAUGUUUUUCUUUUUAAACAACAAUUCUCUGGUUCAAUGGGUUGACUGUCUAUGGCCACCAUUAAACAUUGCUGAAUAUGGAAGAGAAAGUCAAGUGACAUUUGUAUCUUCUUCAGCAUUCACAGACCUUCUGCAGACCCCAGCAAGGGGGAAAAAUGGAUCCACUAACACUCAGGUGGAAAAGAGAGAGAAUAAAAGGGAGUUUAAGCUUAGCUAGAGCAAAAUUACUCCAUUCAACUUUCCAAGGCCAGUUGGGGUUUUGAGAGGUUUCUGCUCAACCUGGGAUCUGGAGGGAGAGCUUUGUUGUUGAUAAAUCUGCCUUGAAUUCAUUGGUUUAACUUGCAUCAAAAUACCAUGUGAGUGUGCUCAUUACCAUAUAUCCUUACCACCGUCACCACCAUUCUGCUGUCCAGUGUCUCUUGAGAGAGCCUCUUUGCAUGUUUUCCAGAAUCUGUGUUUGUUUUUCCUUUCUUCUCCUUUGUUCUUUUUGCUCAAAGGUGUUACCAGUCACUGCCCCUCUGGGGCUUUCAUUCUCCAGGAGAAACAUCCCAGAACCAGCACUGUUUAGCUUGAUGCCUUUCUAAUAUCCAUGUCAAUUUUCAAUAAAAUUCAAAGAAAUGCUAAA